Molecule: ribosomal RNA, 253 nt
Filed under: uncultured bacterium
Lineage: Bacteria
Description: partial 16S ribosomal RNA
Rfam family: Bacterial small subunit ribosomal RNA
Source: RNAcentral
UACGUAGGGGGCGAGCGUUGUCCGGAUUUAUUGGGCGUAAAGAGCGUGUAGGCGGCCUGGCAGGUCUGCUGUGAAAACUCGAGGCUCAACCUCGAGAUGUCGGCGGAAACCGUCUGGCUAGAGUCCGGAAGAGGAGAGUGGAAUUCCUGGUGUAGCGGUGAAAUGCGCAGAUAUCAGGAAGAACACCUAUGGCGAAGGCAGCUCUCUGGGACGGUACUGACGCUGAGACGCGAAAGCGUGGGGAGCAAACAGG